RNAcentral lists this ribosomal RNA (371 nucleotides) under uncultured soil bacterium. RNAcentral describes it as "bacterial SSU rRNA". It matches the Rfam family "Bacterial small subunit ribosomal RNA", at positions 26 to 391 of the family's 1533-position model. The record is from RNAcentral.
AGAUUGAACGCUAGCGGGAUGCUUUGCACAUGCAAGUCGAACGGCAGCGCGGACUUCGGUCUGGCGGCGAGUGGCGAACGGGUGAGUAAUAUAUCGGAACGUGCCCAGUAGCGGGGGAUAACUACGCGAAAGCGUGGCUAAUACCGCAUACCGCCCGUACGGGGGAAGGGGGGAUUCUUCGGAACCUCUCACGAUUGGAGCGGCCGAUAUCAGAUUAGCUAGUUGGUAGGGGUAAAACGCCCACCAAGGACGACGAUCUGUAGCUGGUCUGAGAGGACGACCAGCCACACUGGAACUGAGACACGGUACCACGACUCCGUACGGGAGGCAGCAGGUGGGUAAUUUGGACAGUGGGCGCAAGCCUGAUCCAG